CUCGUAGGCGGCUUAGUAAGUCGGCGGUGAAAUACCGAGGCUCAACCUCGGCACUGCCGUCGAUACUGCUAUGGCUAGAGUUUGGUAGAGGAGAACGGAAUUCCCGGUGUAGCGGUGGAAUGCGCAGAUAUCGGGAGGAACACCCGUAGCGAAGGCGGUUCUCUGGGCCAAUACUGACGCUGAGGAGCGAAAGCGUGGGGAGCAAACA
This 208-nucleotide ribosomal RNA is filed under the name uncultured bacterium. RNAcentral's name for it is "partial 16S ribosomal RNA". It matches the Rfam family "Bacterial small subunit ribosomal RNA", at positions 568 to 774 of the family's 1533-position model. The record is from RNAcentral.